This 542-nucleotide long non-coding RNA is filed under the name Androctonus crassicauda. Lineage: Eukaryota; Metazoa; Arthropoda; Arachnida; Scorpiones; Buthidae. The record is from RNAcentral.
UAAAAAUAUCGGGCUAAACUAGACCCUAAGUAGAACCUAAAAACACCAAAAAACGAAGGGGUCACCAUGGAAAAUUUUCAAUAAAAAAUUAAUGAAAACCCAGGUUAUGGGUUAAUCCUAUGGAAAUCGAAACUGCUUAAUAAAAAAUUAAGGAAUUAAUGGAUUUUUCAGAUUCAGGUGUCCGCGAGGAUAAGGAUUAAAAUGUAUUAAAAAUUUUGAGAAUCGGUUAAGAAUUUCAAAAGUUAUUCACGAAAAACGAAAUUCAAAAUUUUCCAAUGGUAACUCUAUGGGGGAAGGAAACUACCCGAUGGAACGAAUUCCAACGGGUAAAACGAAAAAAGACAGACACAAACAGACACAGACACUCACCAAAACACACCAGGAACAAAAAUUUGGCAGUAGGAACCCCUAAAAACAGUAAAAAAAAUCCAAAAGCAGAAGCAGCUGAAAACACGUCUGCACUCUACAACAGACAAGCAGUGACUGGUCGGCGUACGCGUAUCGUCAACUGCGAGUCGAAUCUUGUACGCGUCUAUGACGAU